Long non-coding RNA from Perca flavescens (yellow perch), 329 nucleotides. RefSeq lists it as uncharacterized. Lineage: Eukaryota; Metazoa; Chordata; Actinopteri; Perciformes; Percidae. The transcript has 3 exons. The record is from RefSeq and is a predicted model, not a curated record.
CAGCUGGACAGCAAGAAGCAGCAGAGUAAACAGCUGGAGGAGUCUCUGCAGAAGGCCCAGAAUGCAUUGCAGUCCUGCGAUCAUCAGCUGACCCAGCUGAAGGCGGAGUCAGAGGUGGUGCUCGGCCAGCUGAUGAUCUGGCAGCGAAUCAGAGACGAGCUGCAGGCGUACGUCUCCGCCGCACAGGACAUCAUGCAGAUCAGCCUGCUGUCCUUCAACCAAUCAGAGCUGUGUGUGGAGCUCAGGCCACGCCCCUCGCACCUGUCAUCCAAUGAGCUGGAGCCACUGAGGCUGUCCGUCACCUGGAGCCAUGACGACCGCUUCACACU